RNAcentral lists this ribosomal RNA (252 nucleotides) under uncultured bacterium. Its description in RNAcentral is "partial 16S ribosomal RNA". It matches the Rfam family "Bacterial small subunit ribosomal RNA", at positions 525 to 776 of the family's 1533-position model. The record is from RNAcentral.
ACGAAGGGGGCAAGCGUUGUUCGGAUUUACUGGGCGUAAAGGGCGUGCAGGCGGACCGAUAAGUCGUCUGUGAAAUCUGUCGGCUCAACCAACAACUGGCAGUCGAAACUAUCGGUCUUGAGUACAGGAGAGGAGAGCGGAAUCUCAGGUGUAGCGGUGAAAUGCGUAGAUAUCUGGGAGAACACCGGUGGCGAAGGCGGCUCUCUGGCCUGAUACUGACGCUGAGGCGCGAAAGCUAGGGGAGCGAACGGG